This 447-nucleotide ribosomal RNA is filed under the name uncultured bacterium. RNAcentral's name for it is "bacterial SSU rRNA". It matches the Rfam family "Bacterial small subunit ribosomal RNA", at positions 328 to 792 of the family's 1533-position model. The record is from RNAcentral.
CCGCCAGACUCCUACGGGAGGCAGCAGUGGGGGAUAUUGCACAAUGGGGGAAACCCUGAUGCAGCGACGCCGCGUGGGUGAAGAAGCGCCUCGGCGCGUAAAGCCCUGUCAGCAGGGAAGAAAAUGACGGUACCUGAAGAAGAAGCCCCGGCUAACUACGUGCCAGCAGCCGCGGUAAUACGUAGGGGGCAAGCGUUAUCCGGAUUUACUGGGUGUAAAGGGAGCGUAGACGGCGAAGAAAGUCUGAAGUGAAAGCCCGCGGCUCAACCGCGGAAUGGCUUUGGAAACUUUUUUGCUGGAGUACCGGAGAGGUAAGCGGAAUUCCUAGUGUAGCGGUGAAAUGCGUAGAUAUUAGGAGGAACACCAGUGGCGAAGGCGACUUUCUGGACUGUACCUGACGCUGAGGCGCGAAAGCGUGGGUAGCGAACGGGAUUAGAUACCCCAGUA